Molecule: long non-coding RNA, 714 nt
Filed under: Cyanistes caeruleus (blue tit)
Lineage: Eukaryota; Metazoa; Chordata; Aves; Passeriformes; Paridae
Description: lncRNA (ENSCCEG00000013350.1)
Source: RNAcentral
CCCAGAUUUGACACCAUAUGUGCUCUCAGAGGUGAGAUAAAGAAAAGAAAUGAAGAGAUCUGUCUAAGCUCCCAAAUGAAAGUCCUGAAGGGGUUACAAUGACUAAACACAUUCUUGGCACAAUGCUAGACAAGUCUUAGAACUGCUGCUGACAUGAGCUCAGCUCUUGACAUAAAUGAAAAUUCCACUUUAAAGAGCAUAGAAUUGGCAGACUGGCAUGUAGAUGAAGUUACAGAUCUCAAGGACACUUUCAAGUUGCAAGAGGCAAAAAGACGGACUAACAACAGUCUUUUGUUCUGGUGGGGCUGCUGUGAGCCGAUUGUUCAAGUUCUUGCUUCCCUGCUAGCCCCACAGCCAGGCUUGAAAAUGUCUGCAGAGAUGAAGACAUUCAUUUGUCAUCAGCUACCUCAACAUCAGACAACUUCACUCCACAUGCACUCUUCAGCAGGUCUGAGGGCUUCUUCUGCAAUCCUAGGGCCGACAGACCAGCAAAGCCUGUUCAUGCCAGCCUGUGGGAAUGGUCCUUCACUGUAAGCUGGGGUGAGGUUCUCACUGCUCUAGAAAGCAUUGAUCAGUUUAGUUCUGUUCCUACAUGAAAAAAAUAUUCUCCUAUGGGAAAAUCCGGGGUGUGAUUGCAAUUUGAUGCAGAAAAUGAGGCUUUUUUAGACUAAAAUUAUCCUAUAGGGCAAAUAAAAAAUAUUCAGUAAAAACGCA